CAGCCGCCGCGGUAAUACGGAGGGUGCAAGCGUUAAUCGGAAUUACUGGGCGUAAAGCGUGCGUAGGCGGUUCGUUAAGUCUGUUGUGAAGGCCCCGGGCUCAACCUGGGAAUGGCAAUGGAUACUGGCGAGCUAGAGUGUGUCAGAGGAUGGUGGAAUUCCCGGUGUAGCGGUGAAAUGCGUAGAGAUCGGGAGGAACAUCAGUGGCGAAGGCGGCCAUCUGGGACAACACUGACGCUGAGGCACGAAAGCGUGGGGAGCAAACAGGAUUAGAUACCCCCGUAGUCCUGUCUCUUAUACA
RNAcentral lists this ribosomal RNA (301 nucleotides) under uncultured bacterium. RNAcentral describes it as "partial 16S ribosomal RNA". It matches the Rfam family "Bacterial small subunit ribosomal RNA", at positions 509 to 809 of the family's 1533-position model. The record is from RNAcentral.